GUAGGGUGCAAGCGUUGUUCGGAAUCAUUGGGCGUAAAGCGCGUGUAGGCGGCCAACUAAGUCUGAUGUGAAAGCCCGGGGCUUAACCCCGGAAGUGCAUUGGAUACUGGCUGGCUAGAGGACGAGAGGGGAAAGUGGAAUUCCUGGUGUAGGGGUGAAAUCCGUAGAGAUCAGGAGGAACAUCGGUGGCGAAGGCGGCUUUCUGGCUCGUAUCUGACGCUGAGACGCGAAAGCGUGGGGAGCAAACAGGGAUUAGAUACCCUGGUAGUCCACGCCCUAAACGAUGGAUACUAGUCGUCGGGAUACUUAAUUGUCUCGGUGACGUAGCUAACGCAUUAAGUAUCCCGCCUGGGGAUUACGAUCGCAAGAUUA
This 372-nucleotide ribosomal RNA is filed under the name uncultured organism. RNAcentral describes it as "partial 16S ribosomal RNA". It matches the Rfam family "Bacterial small subunit ribosomal RNA", at positions 527 to 896 of the family's 1533-position model. The record is from RNAcentral.